Molecule: long non-coding RNA, 3186 nt
Filed under: Capsicum annuum
Lineage: Eukaryota; Viridiplantae; Streptophyta; Magnoliopsida; Solanales; Solanaceae
Description: long non-coding RNA (CANN_LNC010944)
Source: RNAcentral
UUCCUCUACCCCUUCCUCUAGCACUUCUAGUUCUUGAUGACAUUCCAGCACUCCUUGAAGGGAUUUCUAGUGCUGCAGAAGGAUUAGAAAGUGUUGCUCUCUCUAGAGUUUGGUGCUGAUGCAAAAUCAGUAGCACCAUGAUUAGUAGGUGUUGUUCUUGCUUCAGUAGGAGCACCAUCAUUUGUUGAUGGUGGUGCAAAAUUAAAAGCAACAGAUGCACUUGAUCUUUUGUUAGAAGAAGGUGGUACAGAUGCAAUACACUGAUCUAAAGCUUUUCUAGGUCUUUCUCUCCCUUUCUUUGCAGCAGGUUCAGCUUCAUUAUUUGUUUGUUUCUAGCAUUCAAAAGAUAAUGUACACAUUAGAUGGUUUGUGUAAAGUAGAGAAAACAGUAAUAGAUAAGUUACCUUUGGUCUGCCCAUUCCCUUUAUUGUGUUUGAUAGUUCUGCAGCACUUGCUACUUUUGGAGUAGCACCAUCUCCACCAGUCUUUAGCAUAGGACAACCUCUUUUUUUGGUGACCCUUAACAUUGACUUGGCUACAUGUCAUAGUAACUCCAGUUCUAGGGAUUUUUCUAGACUUCUUGAUUUCAUCGACUUUUGUUUCUUCUUAACUUUUUUGGCUUGCUUGGUGUUUUCUUUAUCACUGAUGGAGCAACAAAUGAGUUUCUAGAUACAUGCCAUAUUGGCAUGUUAUUCAUAGAUUGCAUGAAAUGUGAGUAAGUGGACAUGUAUCUCUCUUUAGAGUAGCAUGGAUCAAGAAAUAAAGUGGGUUACACUACUUAUGAAACAUGGUAGCUAAAGCAUUUGGACAAGGUAUCCCCUUCAACAUCCAAGAUCUACAACUGCACGCCCUUUUUCUCAAACACACAGUGUGUUGUUUAUAUCCAUCUAGAACUUCAAAUCUUGUUACUCCAUUAAACUCUGUUGGUGUUUGUCCUGACUUUGUUACCAUAAUUGAAUUUUUCUUUAGAAAAAGGAAAACAUAUUCUCCUUAUUUGUCUAAUCCUUGUUCGUAUAGGAAAAGAUUGUAUACUCUAUAAUGGAGGCUCCUUUCAUCUAGUUUGAUAGUAUCCACAAUGUAGUCCUAGGGGUGUGAGAGUUUCAUUUGGGGAGAGACUUUGUGAGACACAAAGGUUGCAGUAUCACUUGUGUGAACCUCUUUUAUUGUGAGUGAAUUAUGUAAGGUUGUCUCUCUUGACAGUUUGUACUCUCUUAUAGAGUGGAUUGCUCAUCUCCUUUUGUGAAUGUAUGUCGAUUGACCUAACCACAUUGAAUUUUUAUGUCUCUUUUGGUGUAUUUCUCAUUUAUCUUCUUAUUCAUGGUCUUUCAAGAUUUUCUUUGCUAGCUUCCGCAUGCGGAAACCUGAUUAUUUCGGUCCUAACAAGUGGUAUCAGAGUAAGGUUAAAACUGGGUGUUCAUCGCAUAUUCAUAGGCAAUAGGCAGUGAAAUCAAAAUUUAAUGUAUCAACACAUACCUCGUGACAUUGUAGAACAUGUGGAUACAAAAAUUAAGAUUUUUGAAAGAUUUGAGUUAUGGGACAGACAUUGGUGGAUGGAUAAUAGCAAUGGGAGAUUUUUUGUGAAAAGUGCAUCGGAAUUACUGAGACAUAAGAAGCAGAAAGAUGAAAACAUUGUCAAAUUAUGGAUGCAGGAAUUACCUUUCAAGAUUUUCUUUUUUCUUGUAGAAGGUCUGAAAUUGAAAGAUACCUAUUGAUGAGGUGGUAGCAAGAUAUGAAAUACCAAUGGUUUCAAGGUGCAGAAGUUGCAUACACCCACAACAAGAAACCAUUACUCAUCUGCUCAUAACAUGUACCUUUGGUAGGAAAAUCUGGUUAUACUUUACUACUGCUGCAGGUAUUCAUGGACCAUUUGUCAAAGUUAAACAAUCUAUUUUGAAGUGGUGGAAUCAUGACUGUGUCUAAACUCAGGCCUCUAUAUCAGGCUACUCCAGCUAUGAUUCUAUGGCAAAUAUGGAAGUGGAGGAACUUUAUUACUAUGGCAGAGAAUUGUCUAAGCAUAAAGUGAUUUAGGAAAUUAAUCUGAAUCUUAAUUGGGUGGACAAAAAAAUAUAUCCAUGGAUGAAGAAUAUUCCACACACUUGGCCAGAGAUGAUAGAAUUUUUGGAGAGAUAGAGGCCUAAUGUGAUUUGCAAGGUAGUUCGAUGGACACCACCUGAUUAUGGAUUGUUCAAAUAUAAUACGAAUGGUGCUUCAAGAGGCAACCUUAGUGAUAGUUCCUAUGCUUUCACUAUCAGGAAUAAGGAUGGAGAUUUGAUAUAUGCUAAAGAUGAAGUUAUUCCUGAUACUACAAGCGUGCAAAAUGAAGAGCCAUUUUAUAGGGAAUAGAACAUUGUAUUAGGAAUAGUCUAUCACAUGUAAUCAUUGAAACUGAUAGUCUCGUGAUAAAGAAAUUUUGGAUGGAGAUUAAAGGGUUUCUUGGAAUAUUGUAAUGUAUGUGGACAAGAUUAAUUUGGAGAUCUAAAGGAGUAUGUCACCUUCAACACAUAGCUAGAGAGGAAAAUCAACUGGCUGAUUUUAUCACUAACUAUGUUUUUGAUUUUGCAGGUAUUGCGCAGUUUAAUAACUUUCAGGAAUUACCAACACAUGCUCAGAGAAUAAUAAAUGAUGACAAAGUAAGGUUACCAAACUUAAGGUUCAGUACCACCGUUGCUAGAGAGUCAGACUAGAUCAGACAAGGAACAAUAAACAUUACCAUCAACUCGGAGAUGGCACAAUAAACAUGUUGCACAACACAAUUUGCAGAUAAAGACCGACAAGAUCCAUAGAAAGUCAAAUUAUUAACCUUAUAAAAUACACUAAUAUAGAUAAAAUUCACGCAACGAUAUUAAUUUCAUUAGAAAUUCAACCUGCGGGAUUUCAAAUAUAGAAGUGUAGGUAAAAAGAUUAAUAGUCGAGUCGAGAUUCGAAAGAAAAAAGCCAAUUUAUACCUGCAAAUCAACUUUAAGAGGUCUUAAUCCCAACGAUGGAAAUAAUUUUCUUGGUUAUUCGAUCCCACGGCGCCUGGUGAGAGCGUGAGGUUGUGGAAUGGCAUCAACCAAAAUUGUGAGAGGAAAAAAAAAUUAGCUGAAGUUGAUAAAAUGGGAAAGCUAUUCAGUUCUAAGGAUAGCGACUUAUAAAUGGGUGAUGAAGAUAGCUUGCAGUGAGGAUAUGCAGGUGGAAUACACCUAC